This 72-nucleotide transfer RNA is filed under the name Urocitellus parryii (Arctic ground squirrel). RNAcentral describes it as "Spermophilus parryii (Arctic ground squirrel) tRNA". It matches the Rfam family "tRNA". Rfam says of the family: Transfer RNA (tRNA) molecules are approximately 80 nucleotides in length. Their secondary structure includes four short double-helical elements and three loops (D, anti-codon, and T loops). Further hydrogen bonds mediate the characteristic L-shaped molecular structure. tRNAs have two regions of fundamental functional importance: the anti-codon, which is responsible for specific mRNA codon recognition, and the 3' end, to which the tRNAs corresponding amino acid is attached (by aminoacyl-tRNA synthetases). tRNAs cope with the degeneracy of the genetic code in two manners: having more than one tRNA (with a specific anti-codon) for a particular amino acid; and 'wobble' base-pairing, i.e. permitting non-standard base-pairing at the 3rd anti-codon position. The record is from Rfam by way of RNAcentral. Lineage: Eukaryota; Metazoa; Chordata; Mammalia; Rodentia; Sciuridae. RNAcentral also lists the same sequence under 2 other names.
GGGGUUGUGACUCAGUGGUAGAGUACUUGUCUUCUACAUGUGAGGCCCUAGGUUCGAUUCUCAGCAGCACAU